CUCUUGUUUCGCCAUCAAUUCUUUAGUUAACUUCGUAAACAAUCUUUUCCAAUAUUUUCUCUUCUUUCUCGAUCUCUUGUCCUGAUGAUGAUGAUCUUCUUCCUCAUCAGAUGCAGUAGAUGAAGAAGUUGAGCUCGAGAAAAGGUUCAGCGAUGAGACAUUGUUUAUCAAGUCAUUUGAAGUUGGUCUAAAACCAGUAUCAAUAGUAGUUGCAUGGUUGUUGCUAUAUAUAGGGAAAGGUGUUGUAGGAGACGGUUGCUUGGCUUGGAAGGUAGGUUUUGUGGCGAUUGGUUUCACACUAACCUGAUGAUGGUUCAACGGUAUCAAAGAAGUGGUUGUUGUCACGGUCGUGGUGGCUGUAGAAGAUUUUAAGGGUUGUGACUCGGGUUCGGGUGGAUAGGAAUUGAGAGCCUCCAAAGCUUGUAACUCUUCGAAAAACCGGUAAGUUUUGCCUUCGGAUUUUCCGGUACGACCUUCUUUGGUACGUUUGUGGUACUUGUACACGUUCUCGAACUUCUCCUUGCAUUUCUUUGCACUUCUUUUGUAACCAAACUCCAUCAUUUUCCUAAUUAUUUAUCAAACAAUAAACACCGUAAGAAACAUCACAAAAAUAUAUUUUUCCUAGAUAGUUAAAUGUAAAUUUAUAAUUAUACUUUUAGAUACAUAUAAACAUAUAGGAAUUUUCAAAUGAAAAUACCGAAAAUAUGAUAAUAUAGAUAUAUCCAAAAAUGUUUAGGUAUAUAAACGAUCAUAAAAUUUCUGUUUAUGUUUUUUCAGUAUGAAAUAUUAAUGCAUCAUGUAUCUAGUUUAUUACAUAUUUAAAUGUAAAUUUGCGAUUAGAUUUAUCUAGUUUUUUACAUAAUUAAAUGUAGUUUGUAAGUAGAUUUUAAGAUAUAUACAAACAUAUAACUAGCUGUAUAGGAUCAUUCAAAUAAAAUUAUUGAAAGUAUGACAAUAUAGGCAUGUGCAAAAUGUGUAAACGUAUAUACAACAAGAUCGUAAAAUUUCAUUUCAUUUUCCAGUAUGAAUAUAUAUGCAUGUAUCAGAAUAUAUAUAACAAAAAAACCUGGAGAUUUCUUCCCACAAGGGAGCUUUGAGAGUGGAGUCACGAAAGGCUUUAUCCAUUUCCGAACGUAUUCUCAAGAGAGCUAGAGUUUCCGGUCUUGGCCACCGGUUUCCUCCUCCUCCGCCUACUUCUCCGAUUUCCUCCAUUUUCAUAUCUUUCUCAUCCUCGCCUGAACCGCCCAUGUCGCCACUGCCGGAGCUAUCUAACAGUCCUGAAGAGUUUCCAGACACACUAAAGAUUCGAAUCCGGAUGUCUCAGAGAGAGUUUAUGAGAGUUUGACGAGAAGAGAAGGUUGUGGUUGAAUUUUCUGUUUUUUUCGUCUAUCGUGAUUUUAUCUUUUUAAUUGGGUGGGAUGGACCAUAUAUCAAGAUCUUAUAAAUAUAAUACAUUUUUGUACGUGAUAUAUUUUGCAUAAUUAGUUUUUCUCUAUAUCACAAAAGGAGGAGUGGGACUUUAAAGGGAAACCUUUUCACUUUCUUUCUGUCUUUUUAAAUUUGGGAAUCUUCUCAUUGCUUAUAAGAAAAUUUUGGUAGCUAAAAAUAAUUUCAUAUAAAUUAAAGUUUUAUGUAUAUUUUAUCUCAGUAGGUGUAACAUCUGAUUAGUGAUUGGUUUAUCAGCUUUUUAGGCAAUGAAAUUCCAGAAACUUGCCAUCGGUUGUGGUACCAAAACUGGUUAAAAAUCAAAACCCUAAUUAGACUGAAUAAUUUGAUAUCAAUAAUGAACUGCUAGAACUGAAUUCUAUAAACUCUAAAAUUACGUUCCGAUACAAGAUACAAUUGCUCAUUCAUUAUCGUCAAUCCAUAUACUUUUACAUAUAACUAGGAGCAUUGCCUCCGCGCUUGCGCGGAAUUGCGAACGGAAUUCUUGUUUCAUCUCAAUAUUUGUUAGGAUUAUUGUAUCUGUGAAUUUUGGGUUUUGGAUUUUGGGUUGAUCAUUGUUUUUCAAAUUUUUUAUUGUUAUAGGGUUAGAGUUGUGAUGAUGAACUGUGUAUGCAUUGUUCUCCACUCAUGAAAGACUAAACUGUGUUAGUAAUGUGAUUUAUAUAGUUCGUGAUGUUGCUUUUUGUGUCACUGAAACUUAUUGUUUGUUUGUCUUUUUAAUUUGUUACUUGUACUGUUGAGCUUACAUAAAUUAUAUUAAGGUUGUUGAGAGUACUUUUUGUUUCUGGAUAUUUUUUCUCCAGUUUAGUUGUGUAAGUUGUGUGUAUUAAGUAAUAAUUUUUUUAAUUCUUAUUAUGUUGGUUGUAUGUUUUUUAUUUUAUUUUUAAACUUGUUGCUUUUACCCGACCUUUAAAACAAAUAAAUGAAGACUUGUACAAAUAACUAUAAAAUGAGUGACAAUUAGUAUUUGAGCCUUAAAGAGUUUUAAAUGAAUAUAUGUAUUUCUUAUAAGAAGACAAUAACAUUGGUCUGUUGACAUUGAGCAUGUAAGCUAUUUUCAUAAGACAAGAGGAGUGAGCAAGUGGAGAUGUUGUUGCUGCCUUUGUAUCUGUUGGGAUUGUCUCUUGUAUCUCCUGGUGUGUCUGUGUUUGUUUCUCUUUUAUUUUAUGGGGUAAUAUGUAAACAAAAAUCAUUAGUAGUUGUAUUUAUCAGAGUUUGUAACUUGCUCUGCUUUUUUGUUUAGGUAAUUUUAUUGAUCUUGGUUGUCGUCUUCGUCUUCUUCGUAAGCAUCUGCAAAAGUAAGUUUAUAAAUUGUUAAAUAGCUGGUCGUGUAGUUUGUAUUUGUUUAGCUGGCUCAAUGUAUGUGUCCUUGAGUUUUAGUUGAGUUGAUUGGUUUGGUAUAUAUUUGUUUCGAAGUUUAUUUGUAAGAUUAGACAAAAAGAGAGGUGAUCAUUCAUGAUUCGUCUUUUUUGGGAUACUAGUUUUUGGUGUUUUGAUUGUUUGGGUUAUUGUGGUCUUUUUUAAGCUGUAAAAUAAAGAUUUGUGUAAAAUUAGAUUGAUAAGUAAAGAAGAUAAAUAGACGACCACAAAUCUUGGGUAGGAAAUAUUUUUGAUUAUUGAUAUUAGCACAAAGACAGUAAUAUAAAGGGGAUCAUGUGUUGAUUGUUUCAUACGUUAAUGUUUUUUGUUCUAAAAAGAUAAGUAUGUAUUUAUCUUUUUAAUAUGGGUUAAAAAAAUUAGAGACCAAUUUUAAAAAUAUAUAUGUAGUAUUUUCAAAUACAAGAUAAAAAUUAAACUAUAUGUAAAUAAUAAACUUAUUUAAAUUUAGUCUAAUUAUUAGAAUCCAAAUAAAAUUGCAGCUCAUUUCAAUGAAAUUUUUAGAAUCCAAUAUACUAAAUGAGAAAUUUAUGCACCUUAUGAACUUCAAAUAUACUAUUUUGUGUAAUUUUCUUUAUUCGUUAUUUUCCUUUUUGUUCUUUUUUGAAUAUAUCAUUUGAGUGGGAAAUAUUAUUAACUGAAUUCACAUGUCUACUGAAAUGUUACAAGGACAAUGUAGUCUUUUCAUUAAAAGAAAAAAAAUUAUACUGUACAAAUUCGAAUAUGAUGUGUUUUUGUUUGGUCCACCUCGUGGUGCGUAGGCACAAAUUACAGAAAGAAACGCACAAAUGCCAUCCACCACACGGACGGUACUUAUGAUUAGAUUAUUUUAGGUAAAUUUAUAAUGGGAAUAUGAAUACGAACAUUUCACAAUUUGCAAUAAUAUUCGAAGGAAAAAAAAAUGAUGAAAGCGACGACCCAGUAUCAAUUCGUAGGUCCAAUUUUUUACUAGGUGUGUCGGUACCCAUGGAUAUAGAUGGAUGCUUGAUUAACCAUUGGCUUCUCCCCACCAAUUGAGCUAAUUUUUAAUUCAAAUUUCAUCGGUUGAUCCCAUUGAACCUUGUGGUUCUAUAAUUAGAUAUACGCAUAGUAAUAUAUAUAUCUAGAAAUUUAAUUAUUUUAUAAAACACCACGAAAAGGAACUCUAAAAAUCAAAUCCAUUUACUUACAUUUGUUGUAUAUGUUCUUUUUCACCCCAUUGCGUAGUUUAAUAGAUAAGUUUAUAUAGAGGAAUACAAAAAACAUUUAGGUGAAAAUAUUAUUGUUAAUGUCCAUAGGUGAUGAUUUGUUCAACACAAUCUCGAACUCACUUGUCUCAUUGUCUCCUUCUUCAUCUUCAUUUUCGUAAUCAUCUUCUUCACUCUCUCCUUCUUCAGCUUUGUCCCCCUGAUCAGUUUUAAGCUCAGUCUGCGUUUCUUGUGGGAGAAGCUGCGGAGUCAACAUUAAAGGUAAUAUUGACAAUGCCCCACUUUUGUUCCUUUCAUUGUACAAAGCUUCGAGCUGGUUAAAAUAAGGGCACGUCUUAGAAUCAAAAGGUCGUUUCUUGUUGCUCUCUUUGACUUUCUUGAAGUACUUGUUUAUGUUUUCCCACUUCUCUUUGCAUCUUUUAGCGCUUCUAUUGUAUCCCAAUCUUCUCAUCCCUCCAGAGAUCUCUUCCCAUAAUGGCCCUCUAGUACCAUUUUCUUGAUAGUUAGCUUCAAGAUUUUUCCUUAUCCGUAUUAAGACCUCGACCUCGGUUUUAGGCCAUCUUGAAGAACUAGGAGAUAGUGAAUGGUUGCUAUCGAAUAGAACCGGCCUUGGCUCUUUACUCUCAAAUGUUAUUGAAUGUUCACUGUGAUAUUGUUUCCUUUGUGGUACUUUAUGUUUCUGUCGUGGUUGUUGUUGUUGUCCUCCUGAGAUUUUGUGUAAGAAGGAUAUGAUUGCAGCGUCUUUAGCCACGGCAUUAGACCUCUCAUGGACUAGUGUUUUGUGUUCUCUAUUGAUUCUCGCUACCUCUUGGACCCUCCAAGCUUCUUCUCUUGAGAUUCUCUCUCUUUCUUGAUUCUCAAAAAUUUCCAAGAACCUCUUUUGCACCUUCUCUUGUUUCUCCAUCAAUUCUUUAGUUAACUUCGUAAACAAUCUUUUCCAAUAUUUUCUCUUCUUUCUCGAUCUCUUGUCCUGAUGAUGAUGAUCUUCUUCCUCAUCAGAUGCAGUAGAUGAAGAAGUUGAGCUCGAGAAAAGGUUCAGCGAUGAGACAUUGUUUAUCAAGUCAUUUGAAGUUGGUCUAAAACCAGUAUCAAUAGUAGUUGCAUGGUUGUUGCUAUAUAUAGGGAAAGGUGUUGUAGGAGACGGUUGCUUGGCUUGGAAGGUAGGUUUUGUGGCGAUUGGUUUCACACUAACCUGAUGAUGGUUCAACGGUAUCAAAGAAGUGGUUGUUGUCACGGUCGUGGUGGCUGUAGAAGAUUUUAAGGGUUGUGACUCGGGUUCGGGUGGAUAGGAAUUGAGAGCCUCCA
RNAcentral lists this long non-coding RNA (5315 nucleotides) under Brassica napus (rape). Its description in RNAcentral is "long non-coding RNA (BNAP_LNC011292)". The record is from RNAcentral. Lineage: Eukaryota; Viridiplantae; Streptophyta; Magnoliopsida; Brassicales; Brassicaceae.